Molecule: ribosomal RNA, 433 nt
Filed under: uncultured bacterium
Lineage: Bacteria
Description: partial 16S ribosomal RNA
Rfam family: Bacterial small subunit ribosomal RNA
Source: RNAcentral
AACGAACGCUGGCGGCAUGCCUAACACAUGCAAGUCGAACGGGACCUUCGGGCCUAGUGGCGCACGGGUGCGUAACGCGUGGGAACCUGCCCUUAGGUUCGGAAUAACUCCCCGAAAGGGGUGCUAAUACCGGUUAAUGUCUUCGGACCAAAGAUUUCUCGCCUUUGGGUGGGCGCGCGUUGGUUUAGCUAGUUGGUAGGGUAAAAGCCUACCAACGCGACGAUGCAUAGCUGGUCUGAGAGGAUGAUCCGCCACACUGGGACUGAGACACGGCCUAGACUCGUACGGGAGGCAGCAGUAGGGAAUAUUAGGCACGGGGCGAAAGCGUGAUCAAGCCAUGCCGCGUGAGUGAGGAAGGGCUUAGUGUUGUAAAUCUGUUUGACACGGGAUGAUAAUGACAGUACCGGGAGAAUAAGCUCCGGCUAACUCCGUG